GCACUGGCUCCCAGUAAGUUACAGGAUUGACUUUAAAGCACUGCUGCUUGUUUUCAAGUCACUUAAUGGGAUAGGGCCAAAGUAUCUAUCUGACAUGUUUCAGCAGUACGUACCACUCAGAUCUCUCAGAUCGCAGCAUAAAUUUCUAUUAGUAAAACCCACUGUCCAAACUAAACAGGGUGAAGCAGCACUUAGCCACUAUGCGGUUCACCUCUGGAACCAACUUCCAGAAGACAUUAAAAACGCUCCAACUACUUUCAGUUUUAAAUCUAGACUAAAGACCAAACUUUUCUCAGAUGCCUUCUGCUAACUGGCCAUGAACAGUUCCUUUGAAGUAUUAUUGCUUACUCUAGUAUACUAGUGAUUGUUAUUAUUCUUUUUAUGCUUUUAUUUCCUAUAUUUUACUAUUGUUAUGCCUUAAUGUUCUCAUGCUUUUAUUUUCUAUAAUUAACUGUUUUCAUGAUCAUGCACUGACCUUUUGCUUUUUUAAUUUUUUUUUUUAAUGUGAAGCACAUUGUUGUGCAUGUAUGUGAAGCACAUUGAAUGACCACGGUGUAUGAAUUGUGCUAUAUAAAUAAAAUUGCCUUGCCUUGCCUUGCCUUGGGUGAGGAGUUUCUGAAUUAUCAGACCAUGCCAACCACCUCCCUUCAGGACGAAACUGAGAUGGAAAGCCUCUGGGCUGGAAUAGCAACACGGAAACAUAAGGUGGCAGGAGCCAAAGAAUUUGAGAGGCUUGCUGCCGUCGCCAAGCUGGUCCUGGUGUUGCCCCAUUCGAAUGCAGAUGCUGAGAGGGUGUUUUCAGUUGUGGGACUGAACAAAACUAAGACCAGAAAUAGCCUGGCAUUGGAUGGCACCCUGUCUUUAAUAAUGGCCAUAAAGAUGGCCGACCUGGAGCCUUGUUUCAGAUGGGAGCCCCCCUCAGAGGUCAUCAAGGCCACCAAGAAGGCCACAGGCCAGUACAACCUUGCCCACAGAUCUUAGAAAAUGACUAACCAGGUUCUGAUCUGCAUUUGAUACCUCAUUUUUAGUUAUUUUUGUCAUGUGUUGAUCCAUUUUAUUGCUCAAAAAGGCUACUGUGUAAGCACUUUAUUUGUUGCACUUUUUUGUUUGAUGGAACGUGUGGUGGGAGGCUUUGAAUAAUGAAAAAUAUUUCUCCCUAACUAAUCUUGUGUCAUUUUUUGCUGGACAUAAAUCAUUAAGUGCUCUUAAAUUAAGUGCUCAUAAAUCAUUAAAUACAAUUAUUAACAAUAUAGGUUAGGUUUCAGUUAAGAAUUAGUUGAAUACCAUUGUAAUAAAAAUGUCAAUCAACCUACCUUGGUAAAAUCUUAAACACAGGUCUAUUAAUUAGGCUAUAUUGUGGUACAUAGACAGUCAUUGAGGCACAAGAAUAGUUUUCAGGUUGAAUGUUCAGCUCAAGUCUAAAAGGCCCUACAAGUCAUGAUCAGAUGAACAUGAAUCAGAAUAAGUUCAGGUAUUGCACAUCUUUAGCAUACCACCCAAAAAUCCACUAGAAUGCAGGA
Long non-coding RNA from Clupea harengus (Atlantic herring), 1520 nucleotides. NCBI's taxonomy places the organism in Eukaryota, Metazoa, Chordata, Actinopteri, Clupeiformes, Clupeidae. The record is from Ensembl.